Molecule: long non-coding RNA, 1657 nt
Organism: Sinocyclocheilus grahami
Lineage: Eukaryota; Metazoa; Chordata; Actinopteri; Cypriniformes; Cyprinidae
Exons: 2
Source: RefSeq, a predicted model, not a curated record
GUUUGACCGGUAGUGUAUAUAUUAUACAACACACCAUUUCUUUAAGGAAUGGCUCACCCUAAAAUGAAAAAAAAAAGGUUAUUAUUUCACCAUGUCAUUCCAAAGCCCUUUGAUAUUUUUCAGUGGAACACAAAAGGAUACAUUUUUUAUAAUUUUUAUGCACCUCUUUUUCAAUCAAGAUAAAGAAAUUCGGAAUCAAUCCCCCUGAAUCAAUGUUAUGAUGAUAUUCACACAUUCUCUGACAGAAUGAAGAGAAGGAACAGGAAAUGACAAGACACACUACUGUAAAUUCCUAGUAAAAAUGUUUUAUCAAUAAAUGUAAAUGAAUCAAAAAGUAUGUGAGACAAACUAGCUGCUCCCUAUUUGAUUGUGCACUGCUAAUAAUUACACACUAACAUACAGUAGACUGACCUGUAAAUAAACUAAAUAAAUAUAACGUAAUUAUAUUAUAUCAGAGGACAAUGCCCAAACAGUUUGAAUCCAUCACUUUUGCAAUGAGGAAAAUACAUCUUUUGUACACACCCCAAAAUAGUUAACAUAACAAGACUCAUUUUUACAGACCAACACUGUGAACUACUUUCAAGGCAAGUUUCCUAACACAAUCAAGAUCACAACACAGGAUGACACAGUGCUUUGCAAAGGUAUUCAGACCCUUAAAUAGUUCUCUCAUUAUACUAUAGGUACAAAUCCAAUUUUAAAGAAAAUAUGUUUUACAUUUUUAAUAAAAAUAAAAACGGCAUAUUCAAGUCUAGACAUUGAGUAUAUUAUAAAGCUAGCAUUGAAGCAAUUGCAGCUGCAAACCUGGCUCUAUAAAUGUCUUUUGUGGUAUGUACCAGCUUUUCACAGCUGCAUUAGGGUGUAAUUUUGUCCCAUUUUCCCCAGGCAGAUUGAUAUUUCAGGUUAGUCAGUGACUCUUGCACACCAAUGAUUUUCAAAUUGCGCCAGAGAUUCAUAAUUGGACUGAGAUCACGGCUUUGAGGGUGCUAUUGCAGGAAAUUUUCACCUUAGACCUUAGGCCACUCCAUUGUUAAACUGGGCAUGUGCGUAGGAUCAUUUAAUUUAUAAAACUAAUUUAUACUGAAAGAGCAAAAUCUAGGGAUCCGAAUAGCAUAAAAAAUUGUUGGUGGGCUUUUGUGACCUAGGCCAGUUUGCAACCACAUAGCAACAUGCUAAAAAUCACUUAGCAACCUAGCAUCAUAGCGAGUUUUACAUCACUGUAAAAAUCUAAUGCUGAAGUAAUAGCUUGUGCUACUGUGAUAUGUACAACCUUCUCAUUUAUGCAUUUCUUCUCACUUAAUUGUAAAGCGAUUUUACAAUUAAAAAUUUUUUAAAUGUUUUUUCUCUAUUGUCCAUUGGAAUAACAGAAUGAUAACAGAUCUGAAUGAUGAUCCCUUUUUAUUAUUAUUGUUGUUUUUCCCCCCCAGAAAAUGUGGAAGUCAUUUCAAUGAGUCACAGUUAGAGGGCAAUAAUUGUAAAGCAAUUGUGUCCUUGUUAGUGGGAUUGUUACUUUUGGAAAGCACUGUAUAUUUGAAUCAGAGUAGAUUGCACUAACAAUGGAGGGAAACACUCAGCAAAUCAUCUCACAUCUGAUUGCAGUGAAUGUCCAAAACCUUAAUUGUGUGAGGACAAAAGCAAAAAGAAAAAAAAGAAAGAAAAA